UCAAAAUAGUGCCUUUACGUGUA
Molecule: non-coding RNA, 23 nt
Filed under: Arabidopsis thaliana (thale cress)
Lineage: Eukaryota; Viridiplantae; Streptophyta; Magnoliopsida; Brassicales; Brassicaceae
Source: RNAcentral